This 454-nucleotide ribosomal RNA is filed under the name uncultured bacterium. RNAcentral describes it as "partial 16S ribosomal RNA". It matches the Rfam family "Bacterial small subunit ribosomal RNA", at positions 28 to 507 of the family's 1533-position model. The record is from RNAcentral.
GAUGAACGCUGACAGAAUGCUUAACACAUGCAAGUCUACUUGAACUUCGGUUUGGGUGGCGGCCGGGUGAGUAACGCGUAAAGAACUUGCCUCACAGUUAGGGACAAUAUUUGGAAACGAAUGCUAAUACCUGAUAUUAUGAUCUUAGGGCAUCCUAGGAUUAUGAAAGCUAUAUGUGCUGUGAGAGAGCUUUGCGUCCCAUUAGCUAGUUGGAGAGGUAACGGCUCACGCAGGCGAGGAUGGGUAGCCGGCCUGAGAGGGUGAACGGCCACAAGGGGACUCAGGCACGGCCCUUACUCCAACGUGGGGAAGCGGUGGGAAAUUUUUGACAAUGGACCAAGAGCCUGAACCAGCAAUUCUGUGUGCAAGAUGACGUUUUUCGGAAUGUAAAGUGCUUUCAGUUGAGAAGGAAAUAAUGACGGUACCAACAGAAGAAGCAACGGCUAACUACGUG